AGCUGCUGCUUCGCCCUCCUUGACUAUAAGCUUGUCGUGAACAGGGAAUGUGUCUGCUACCCUGUUCUGGUUUACUCUGCCAAGGGCUUAGUACGGUGCUUUGCACACAAUAUGAGGUCACAAUAUGACCUCACUAUCAUCACAAUAUGAUGGACCGACUGACUGACUUAGAUUGUAAGCUCCCAGGGGGCAGCGACUGUCUCCUCCACCCAACUUGCCAAAGAGGGUGCUUUUUAGGGGGUGUGGUCUCGCUCAAAUCAGGCGAAACGGAGCGCAGAGGUCCUCAUCUGGCUUUCUUGUUGGGGAGAGGGGGAGGACAGGUAUAUUGCCAACUUCUACUUCCCAAGCGCUUAGUAUAGUGCUCUGCACCCAGUCAGUGCUCAAUAAAUACGAUUGAAUGAAUGAAUGAGGAGGGGUAGGGGUGAAGAAACAGACUGGCCCGGGGUAAGUGUUUAGGGCUGUGGAUGCAGGAGAAGAAAAGGCCCAGCUUCUUUCUGCGCCCCUGGAGAAGUCUCCCAGACAACUGCCACAAGGUAAGUGUUUAGGGCCACGGCUGCAGAAGGGGAAAAGGCCCAGCUUCUUUCUGCUCCCCUGGAGAAGUUUCCCAGACAACUGCCACAAGGUAAGGGUUUAGGGCCUCAGCUGCAGGAGGAGAAAAGGCCCAGCUUCUUUCUGCACCACUGGAGAAGACUCCCAGACAAUUCAGCUCAGAGGGCCAAGGAACGAGCCUGAGCCUCAGAUGCAGCGUGAGAGACCCGGCCCCCUGGUCCAUCCCUGUCUUCCCGAGGACAUCGUGGUGCGGACAGUGUCACGCCCUAACUCCAGCACAAGUGGGAGGAAUCGACGGUAUUUAUCAGGAAGCCCCAGCACAGCCCGGACCAGCCGACCCCACGGAUAACGGAGGACUGACCAGCCCCUCCAGAAAUACCACGGAUGCUGGACUGGGGCCGUUUCCCACCAGCCUGCUGCCCCCUGGCCGCCCCCCAGCCCACAACUGUAUCCCCUCCCUCCAGACGAUGCCAUUUCCUUUGGGGGGCAAGGGUCAAACACUGCAUCAUGGGUGCCAAACCGGUCUCUUGCAACUCCAGGAGGUGAUGGAGGUGUGUGUCUGUUUCUUGUGUGAGUGCGAGGGCCGGGACCAGAGCAGGGUCAGGGGGCCGCCCCUCUUUGGACGGGUAAAGGGUUCUGGAAACAGGGGUCUAGAGUUGGGGUCUGUACUCCGUGGAUCUUAGGCGCAGGUGUGAAGUCGUGCCGGGGCCCUUAAUUCUGUAGACAGUGCGACUUCAGCCUGCCCGGGUCCGCUGGGAGUUUUCGGGCCUACUCUGGCUUCAAGAGUACAGACUCCCUUUCCCGGCCGAGGGGGGUGCCCCUGGGGGAGCGGGGUACAGGGACAGGUGCAGUCGGGGGCGUGUGUAUGUGUCUAUCUGUAUGCUUGUGUGACUCCCCUAUGUCCUCCAUCCCUCCUGGACGAGCAGAAUGAUGGGGGGACAGGACUAACAACAAAUCCUAGAGUGGGAAGAUGCAAAGUGGUAUAUUCCCCCACCCUACCAAUGGAAAUGGCACAGUCUGGGCCCCUUCCCUACUGUCCCCUCCCCUGCCUGGGCUCUGUAAGGCCAAAUGCAUCUG
Long non-coding RNA from Tachyglossus aculeatus (Australian echidna), 1626 nucleotides. RefSeq lists it as uncharacterized. The transcript is spliced from 3 exons. Lineage: Eukaryota; Metazoa; Chordata; Mammalia; Monotremata; Tachyglossidae. The record is from RefSeq and is a predicted model, not a curated record.